GUAGUGAAUUGCAGGAGUUAAGAAUUAUUUUUGAGGCUGGCUACCAUACCUCCUACAGAGACUACAGGGACUUAAAAAUUUUAAGGAUGCUCAUGAUCACUAGCUAACAUUUUUAAUCAAUGCAUUGAUGAAUUAAUUAUCUUCUGUUCUUGCUCAAGAGACAUACUCUUUUGGUCUUCAUGAUUGUGUUCUUAUGCAAAUAGGCGAUGAGCUCACUCCUGGAACCACAUCAUGAGAGGUAUUUUUCUUCAACCACUGCUGAGAUAAAGUUCUACACAUAAGAACCACUCCUGGAAAAGACACAUCUCUGGGCUGACCAAAGAUCAUAAUCCAUCUCUGUGCAACAUGGAAGACAAGACACCUCUAAGAAAA
Molecule: long non-coding RNA, 372 nt
Filed under: Homo sapiens (human)
Lineage: Eukaryota; Metazoa; Chordata; Mammalia; Primates; Hominidae
Description: HSALNT0394902
Source: RNAcentral